CAACACUCAAGCCUAGCUUGGUCUUGGGCCUCGCCGGAAACGGCGGGCCUUAAAAUCAGUGGCGGCGCCUGUUAGGCCCUAAGCGUAGUAAUACUCCUCGCUACAGGGACCCGGCAGGAGCUGGCCAGCAACCCCCAACUUUCUAA
This 146-nucleotide unclassified non-coding RNA is filed under the name Microscypha sp. RNAcentral's name for it is "partial internal transcribed spacer 2". Lineage: Eukaryota; Fungi; Ascomycota; Leotiomycetes; Helotiales; Hamatocanthoscyphaceae. RNAcentral also lists the same sequence under 1 other name. The record is from RNAcentral.